AUUGAACGCUGGCGGCAUGCCUUACACAUGCAAGUCGAACGGCAGCAUGAUCUAGCUUGCUCGAUUGAUGGCGAGUGGCGAACGGGUGAGUAAUACAUCGGAACGUGCCCUGUAGUGGGGGAUAACUAGUCGAAAGAUUAGCUAAUACCGCAUACGACCUGAGGGUGAAAGUGGGGGACCGCAAGGCCUCAUGCUAUAGGAGCGGCCGAUGUCUGAUUAGCUAGUUGGUGAGGUAAAGGCUCACCAAGGCGACGAUCAGUAGCUGGUCUGAGAGGACGAUCAGCCAAACUGGGACUGAGACACGGCCCAGACUCCUACGGGAGGCAGCAGUGGGGAAUUUUGGACAAUGGGCGAAAGCCUGAUCCAGCAAUGCCGCGUGUGUGAAGAAGGCCUUCGGGUUGUAAAGCACUUUUGUCCGGAAAGAAAUGGCUCUGGUUAAUACCUGGGGUCGAUGACGGUACCGGAAGAAUAAGGACCGGCUAACUACGUG
RNAcentral lists this ribosomal RNA (490 nucleotides) under uncultured bacterium. RNAcentral describes it as "partial 16S ribosomal RNA". It matches the Rfam family "Bacterial small subunit ribosomal RNA", at positions 30 to 507 of the family's 1533-position model. The record is from RNAcentral.